RNAcentral lists this unclassified non-coding RNA (434 nucleotides) under soil metagenome. Its description in RNAcentral is "partial contains 5.8S ribosomal RNA, internal transcribed spacer 2, and large subunit ribosomal RNA". The stretch from base 1 to 120 matches the Rfam family "5.8S ribosomal RNA", at positions 35 to 154 of the family's 154-position model. The record is from RNAcentral.
GAUGAAGAACGUAGCGAAAUGCGAUACGUAAUGUGAAUUGCAGAAUUCAGUGAAUCAUCGAAUCUUUGAACGCAUAUUGCGCUCUUUGGUAUUCCGAAGAGCAUGCUUGUUUGAGUAUCAGUAAACACCUCAAAGCUUUUGGAUUUUUUAAUCGAAAAGCUUUGGACUUGAGCAAUCCCAACGCCAAUCUUUUUGAGAUCAGUGGCGGGUUGCUUGAAAUGCAGGUGCAGCUGGACAUUCUCCUGAGCUAAAAGCAUAUUCAUUUAGUCCCGUCAAACGGAUUAUUACUUUUGCUGCAGCUAACAUAAAGGGAGUUUGACCGUAUUGGCUGACUGAUGCAGGAUUUCACAAGGGUCGGCAACGAUUCUUGUUAAACUCGAUCUCAAAUCAAGUAAGACUACCCGCUGAACUUAAGCAUAUCAAUAAGCGGAGGA